AUACGUAGGGGGCGAGCGUUGUCCGGAAUGAUUGGGCGUAAAGGGCGCGUAGGCGGCCCGGUAAGUCUGGAGUGAAAGUCCUGUUUUUAAGAUGGGAAUUGCUUUGGAUACUGUCGGGCUUGAGUGCAGGAGAGGUAAGUGGAAUUCCCAGUGUAGCGGUGAAAUGCGUAGAGAUUAGGAGGAACACCAGUGGCGAAGGCGACUUACUGGACUGUAACUGACGCUGAGGCGCGAAAGUGUGGGGAGCAAACAGGAUUAGAUACCCUGGUAGUCCACACUGUAAACGAUGAAUGCUAGGUGUAGGGGGUAUCGACCCCUUCUGUGCCGCAGUCAACACAAUAAGCAUUCCGCCUGGGGAGUACGGCCGCAAGGUUGAAACUCAAAUGAAUUGACGGGG
RNAcentral lists this ribosomal RNA (397 nucleotides) under uncultured bacterium. RNAcentral describes it as "partial 16S ribosomal RNA". It matches the Rfam family "Bacterial small subunit ribosomal RNA", at positions 523 to 918 of the family's 1533-position model. The record is from RNAcentral.